CUGACAGCCCUGGAGAGUGAUGUCCUCUGUUCAUCCUCAGAAGAGUUACAGCACAGGCAGUGGUUGUGCCAGCUUCCUCCACCUAAUGAACCCAUUGCCCGACCAAGGAACCACAACUUCAUUCUAGAGUGAGAGUACUCUCUGGCCUCCAUGACUCAGUCAGUCCUUGGCCGCU
This 175-nucleotide small RNA is filed under the name Gopherus agassizii (Agassiz's desert tortoise). RNAcentral describes it as "TUC338 (ENSGAGG00000015678.1)". The record is from RNAcentral. Lineage: Eukaryota; Metazoa; Chordata; Testudines; Testudinidae.